Molecule: long non-coding RNA, 5399 nt
Organism: Bubalus bubalis (water buffalo)
Lineage: Eukaryota; Metazoa; Chordata; Mammalia; Artiodactyla; Bovidae
Exons: 2
Source: RefSeq, a predicted model, not a curated record
GCGGGCUCCGGGCCCGUGGACCGGGUUGGGGGGGGAGUCCAACCUGGGCUACGCAGGGGGUGAAUUUCCUAGGACCAAGGAGAUUCAAGACCUGAGAAAAAGCGUUUGGUCGUUGGGUAGAGGAGUUCAUUAAGGAGUCUUUCCCGAGGUGGUUCUUUCGGCGACUGACUUUCGGAGGGCAAAGUAGUGGUUGAUCUUCUGCUUCCUGUUCUGCGUCGUGUUGUCGCUGUUGGGGGCCAUUCACUGAUUGAACCUCUUGAUGAAGCCAUCCCUGAACCUCUCUUGGCGCGAAGCGGACUGCCUUGUGGCCCUCUGCCUUGAUGGGUCUGUAGUUGGCCUCUUUCCCCGACCACUGGGUAGAUCAACUACGGUUCGGUCCUAAUUCUGUCGAGUACAGUAGCAGCAGCCAGAGGGUCUGGGCUGCGAAGUCUUGGCUAAGUGGGAUGGAAGGAGGGGAAGUGGAUGCCCGGGACCUGGCCCUGCCACCUUGAGCUUUGCUGGGUUGAAGGAUGCCUUUCAGGGCCCUCUGGGGAAAGGUGGAGAGGUAGUGGUGGGUUCUUGACUCUGAGCCCAGGGUGAUGGAACAUGGUGACUUCUGAACCCCCUUCCCGGUAAAGGGAAUCACAUGCCAGUUCCCAGACCUGACUUUCCAAGCUGUCACCAACCAAGUGAGCAAUUAAUUAAAACCCUAUGUUGGUAUUAAGUGCAUGACCUUCUAGACUUUGCUGAAAGAAAGUAUGACCCCAUAGUCAUCAACCAAGCUAGGGGGAACUGGGGUGGGGGAUGGGCAGACAGCACUGUGUCAAGUGCCAGAAAGAAACCUUUGGGUAGUUGCCUUUCUCUGAAAGAGGACAUAGCUUCAGUGCAGAGUGAUAGGGAAGCAAAGCACUUGACCUUUUCACUAGAAAGGUUACGGUGUGACCUGGGUUCAACAGUAAACUGCCUACCAGACUCCAACUUCAGGAGUCAGCAAACCAUCAGUUCUCUAGAAUGAUACUUUGGCUAAACAUCCUUACAGUCUGAUCGGAGGGUGAUUUUAGGGGCUGCAUUCAGUGGCAAGUAAGUGGUACAGAGGAAGAGGCCAGGGGGUAUGGAAAAGGCAUAAAGGGAGUCAUAUUUAAGUGUGGUUCUACAUAAUCGUAAUAGCGAAAAUCUUAAAUUAGCACUCAACAGUGUGUCAGUCUCUGUUUCUAGCACUUUAAUAUAUAAACUUAAGUAAUCCCAGCCCCCCUAUUAGGUAGGUACCUAUAGUAUUAUCCCCAUUAGAUAGAUGGGGAAACUGAGGUACCCAGCAGUCAAGUGAUUAACCCAAGCUUACACGGAUAUUAAGUGACAAGAAUUCGAACCCAGUCAGGCUCCAGAGGUCAAGCUUUUAGCCACCGGAGGAGAGGAAGCAGCUUUGUUUUCAUUGAUCCAAUUUCCAAGGGGAGCAGUUGACAACUAAAGACUUCAUUUUGAAGACAGUCUGUCUCUACCAGCAUGGCUGACUUUGACUUUCUUGGGUUUUGUUUUUAAUUCUGGCACAACUGAAAGGAGAUGCCAGGAAUGGCAAGAAGAGCACUUGCCUUUUAAUUUUCCUCCUCUUAGGUCAGAGUUGAGGUCAGUCCAGAAUCUCAGCUGAUGAUGUCACAGCUGAUAAUUGUGCUUUGCCCUGCAGGUUUGUGGCAUCAGCAGGGGGAACACAGGCUCCAGGACAGGAAGUGGAGGGCAGGGGGAUUUCCAUACGGUUGUCAGAGCCCAGGGGAAGCAGCCUGAACUUUUGGCUGAGGGGAGGCCCAGUCUGAACUCAAAGAAGGAAGACUCCUAGGAGAAAAAAACAAGGCCCUAAGGUGGAUAAUAGGUGACAAACAAACAAAACAUGCCCUUCACACAGAACUGGUGCCCCUCAGGUUGAGAGGCUUCUCGGUUUUUCUAACUGUGAAUUGAAGCUGUUAAGAGCAGCUGCCUCCUCGGGGCCCUCUGAAAAUUCAGAAUGUGAGAAGUGGCUAGAACACAGGUGUUUUCCGUGAACGGGCUUAUUUCCUAUCUAGGGUCAUCACUCCUUGGGAUUUUCUUUACAGGGUGGGGUUUUGACCCCGUGAUUUGACCUCUUCCCCUCCAUCCGACACCCCAAACAAUCCUUCUUAAGCCAUGGUAGUUGAGACGGCAGGGCUCUUGUGUGACAGACGACACAUGUCCAGGAUGCCCCGAGCAAGCGUGUCCCUCGACUCACUCCUCAGUCUCCAGGGAGCUCUCCAGUGAGACAGGUGACCAUUUGCUUCCCCUGAGUAAUAUGGAUGCUCAUUUUUUAUACAUGAAAACCUGAGGGUGGCCCCAGGAAACAAUAACCAGGCUCAUUUAUUAAGUCCCUUUAGACAAAGUGAAAUGAAUGUCUAGUAGAGAGGCAAUGAAUUACUUAUGCCUGAGAGCUGACUUCAGAGGGAAGCACAAACUGCUUAGGAAGGAAGUGGAGAGAACCUAAACCUUUGUUGUACCAAAAUAAGCCAAGGCCAGCAAGGUUACCGUCUACACAGCUGAAGUCUAAUUGGCAGAUGGCCGCACAUGGGAGAGUUGCUGGCUCACAGUCUUGUCUUGCAGGUCUUCCCUUCAAAUUAUAUAUUUAUUGUUGUUAUGCCUGCUAAUUAUACAGCAAGGGCACACGCAUUUGAGUCAGGUAUAUAGGGCUCUUAAACUUUUAAUGUCUUCCAGCUGGGAAUUCAAGAACCCUAAUCCAUCUAGUCCAGUCCAUUACUCAGAGUACUGGGCAAAUAUGGUUUUGCUCAACCCCAGAUGGAUGAUAAAAGUUCUAUGGUGUUUAUAAAACAUGAUCUCAGCUUCAUAGCUCACCACGAGUUAUAUCUCGCUUGCUCAUUUGGUAUCGAUGUGCCUGUUCCCAGGGCAGUGUCAUUAAGUGAUGCUAUCUUCGUGGCUUCCUUAAGAGAGGUAGAGAAACCACUUUAAUAGAGUGGUAUUUAUAAACAGGGAGCUGGCAGAAAAUAGAAGCUUCUCUCAUCCACACCUCCCUUCUUCCCUCCCUCGCUCAUUGUUGUAUGUCAGUUUGAUGCUGAGCAUCGCUUGGGGUUUCUCACUGGCCAUUUUUCUUACUAAAUGUUCACGAAUGUCCAUGGCCUUGGAGAUAAUUUCCUUCCAUUCGGAGAUGCUAGGUUAAAUGAUAGGGUUUUGAUGAGAAUAUUCCUACUCCAAAGCAGUAACCAGGAUGUACAUGAAAGGAGCUCCAUCAUAAUGAACUUCAUUUGAAAUCCUUUGACGCCCUCAGAAGACUCUUCCCCGCUUUCUACCGUGGUGGAGAAAUUCAAGUUCUCGGUGAAGAGAGGCAGCAUUUUGGAGGGUACCCAAACCAUGGGGACAUCAUUCAAUCUUUUGAUCCUCUAAUCAUGAGCAGGGUUCCCUACACUGUGAUGAGUCAGUGUAAAUAAGGAUUUCGCGUCACAGGGGCUUCCUUCAGUGUGCAGCACCCACAGUGGGGGUUUCACAGCAGCCGUCUAACUGGCCACAGAUAGAUCCACAGGAAGACCGAGUUCAAAGAGGCACUCAGUUCCCCUAAGAAUAGCAUUACCAAUCCCAUCUUGCAUGCAGAGCUGCCCUAGAGGGCUGUCUGUGGAUGACUAUUGCUCAAAGGGCUUCCCGGAUGGCUCAGUGGUAAAGCACCCACCUGCUAAUGCAGGAGACCCAGGUUCGAUCCCUGGGUCAGGAAGAUCCCCUGGAGAAGGAAAUGGCAACCCCAUUCAGUAUGCUUGCCUGGAGAAUCCCAUGGACAGAGGAGCCUGGUGGGCUAUAGGCUAUGGGGUCACAAAGAAUCAUUCACAACUGAGUGAGCAUAGCGCAGCACUGCUCAGAAGAGGUUGCCUCUGUGUUGCACCUCAUCUGCCUCCAGUCUGAGGAUGGCACUAAGGCAUUCAACUACCUCCUCAUCCAGGGAUGCAUGGACAAUGUCUCAGGUCUGAAAAUAAGCCAGGGACACUGGGCUGCAAAUCCUCAGGCUGGUCCUUACCCCAUUUCCCCAUCAGUACCUGUCCUUCCCCCAGCUGGGGCUGUGGGCGAGUGCUCUGUCUCUGUUGCCACACUCCUCCAGCUGUAAUAACAGGCCUGACCUCUGCACAGCUCAGAAACCUUUUCAUCUGGGAUCUUGCCCACUGCCUAUAAAAACCCAUCGAGUGGGAUGCUCUUUCACAGGAGGGUCUCUGGGAACACAGGAUUCACAGCUUGGUGACAGCCGAGCCAGGGCCAAGCCCCAUGUCACUCACGCCCUAGGCCUGUGAAGAGUCCCAGAAACAAAGGUAGAGAGGGACAGGGCAGUAUUUGCCCCUCUGCCAGUGGAGGCGAGGGUCAGACUCACAGACUCAGUGGUCCCUAUCGUAGAUCUUGCUUGUUAAUGGCCUGCUGUGUCCAGGCACUUUACAUCCUUUAGGCCAGAGAAUCUUCACAACCAAGGUGAAAACCAGGCAUCAAGGCCCAAGAAUGGAUCUCCCUCCAGAAGAUGUGUUAUGCUGUUUAAACGCUGCUUGCUGGUGGGCCCAGAGUGUCCCGCAGGUGGCAUCUAUUUUAAGGCGCCUUUAUUGCUACUCCUGAGGGGCAGGGAACUCUGCUGCCCAGGGAGGGCUUUACAAGUGUCAGCUGCUGAGUGAUCAACAAGUUUAGCCGAAUGGAAAAGCUGCCGCCUCCAUCUUCCAAGAGCAGGCAGAGCCAGCUUGGAGGAGGACACCCAGCGGGAGAGAACCCAAAGGGAGCCCAUGUUUAGGCCACUGGCCUCAGGACACGCAACUCAUUUGCUCUGGAGCCGGCAGAAAGUCUUCUGUGAAGGGGCCUUUGAUUUCCUCUGAGUCCCCUACAGUGUUGGGCCGUUGGUGAAACGUCAGAGCUGGGAGCACAGGGAGAGAAGGAAUCGGCGUAGCAAGCGCGGAGAUGCUCCGGCUUUGAAGUCUGAGCUGGGUCCCAAAUUGCCUUGCCUCUUACCAGGGCCUGGAGCAAGUCACUUCAAGUCCCCGACUAUAAAGCGUGGGGCCGGCUCUCAUCCACAGGCGGUUAUGCCCCGUGAAUACUCACUGCUCCCAGGACGUCAGAGCUGACGCUGGGUUGAGCAUUGAGAACUUGCCCAGGGUGGGGCGGCCUGGGUGUCAUUCCUGGCUCCCUCCCUUGUGAGUUGCGUGAUCCCAGGCAGGGUCACUGCUAUGCUUUGGUUUCUUCCUCCAUAACAGGAUUUGGACCGCAUCGCUUUUUUUUUUUUUUUUUUUAAUUUUGGCUUCACUGAAUCUUGGUUGUGGUGCACGAGCUUUUCUCUAGUUGCCACACGUGGGGGUUUCUCUAGUUGUGACACAAGGGCUUUGUUACUGUGCAACAUUUGGGAUCUUUGUUCCCCAACCAGGGAUCAAGCCUGCAUACCCUGCCUUGGGAGGCGGAUU